UGAAUUUGGAAGGAUAAUAGUCCAUAUUGGCAUGAAAGAUUUAAGUGGUUAUGAGAAGUUUUGUGAUUUUAUGGUAGAUUUAUGUAAUUAUGAAAAUGAAAUUAUUAAGGUGCAAAUUAUGAUUAUGGUUGAUGAAAUUGGAAGAUGGAAAUAUGUUAUGAAUAUGUAGAUUGAAGAUUAGAAGUUUUGGAUGGAUUAUGGUUUUGGUGGAAAGUUUGUAUAUUUUGUAUAUCUUGUGAAUAUUUGGUAGAAAUGAUAUGAAAUGCUUCCGAAUUAUAUUGUAAUGAUCUUGAUUAGUAAUGAAUGUAAAAACAUUGAGAUUGGUUUUGGAAAUGUGAAGUUGGAAUGAAAGCUAUUGCAUUAUGUUGGAAAGAAGACUAGUUGUGUUAUAUUGUGUUUUGUAGUCAUGGUUGUUGUCAUUGUGUUGAUAGUUUGGCCGGGUUGAAUUCCCGGAUUGUUGUUGAUAAAAAAAUUGGCUAAGUUGAAUUUUGGGGAUGGUGUAUUUAUAGGGGAGAUGCUGCCCAAAUUUUUGUAGACAAGUAUUGGUUAAGAUUGAAAUCUUAAAGCCUUACAAUUAACAUUUGGUAAUUGUGACCAAAUUGUAGAUUUUGGCGAACUUGAAACUUGAUUUUGGAGACGUGUAUGAAGCGGAAAAGGUCAGCAGACAGGUGGACUUGAUCCUUAGGAGCUCUACCAGCGGUACUCUACAGUGCUCCAGUUGUUCCGGAGCCUCACUUCCGCGGUACUAUUUUGUGUAUGUAUAUUCGGGCACGGCAGUACCCGACCCUUUAUAUGUAUAAGUGUACUAUGUCUAGAGGCUCGUAGACAGAUAUGCCCAGUCAGUCAAGUACAGUUAGAUAUAUGGUGUGUUGGCAUUUUAAUGUUGUUGUAUAAAGUGAUAACGAAGUUUACUAGUCUAUGUUCAUAAUGAUGCUGCUAAUGUUAAUGUUAA
Molecule: long non-coding RNA, 952 nt
Organism: Lycium barbarum (goji berry)
Lineage: Eukaryota; Viridiplantae; Streptophyta; Magnoliopsida; Solanales; Solanaceae
Exons: 2
Source: RefSeq, a predicted model, not a curated record